Molecule: unclassified non-coding RNA, 240 nt
Filed under: soil metagenome
Description: partial contains 5.8S ribosomal RNA, internal transcribed spacer 2, and large subunit ribosomal RNA
Source: RNAcentral
AACAUCGCGCACCUGCGGGAACCUGCGGAGGGAUCAUUACCGAGUGUGAACCCCCCCGUAAAAAAGAGGGGUUACCUCCCGUCCUUUGCUGGGAACCCCUUUCCAACUUGGAGGGAGGUUGUUUUCAGACCCUUCUGCUUCGGUGGGGUAACCCACCGGAACAACCUCAAAAAUAUUCUCAAUUCAAAACCGUUCAGUCCGAGAACUUUUUUGAAAAGCGAAAAAACUUUCAACAACGGA